RNAcentral lists this ribosomal RNA (769 nucleotides) under Bacillus pumilus. RNAcentral describes it as "bacterial SSU rRNA". It matches the Rfam family "Bacterial small subunit ribosomal RNA", at positions 8 to 761 of the family's 1533-position model. The record is from RNAcentral. Lineage: Bacteria; Bacillati; Bacillota; Bacilli; Caryophanales; Bacillaceae.
AGAGUUUAAUCCUGGCUCAGGACGAACGCUGGCGGCGUGCCUAAUACAUGCAAGUCGAGCGGACAGAAGGGAGCUUGCUCCCGGAUGUUAGCGGCGGACGGGUGAGUAACACGUGGGUAACCUGCCUGUAAGACUGGGAUAACUCCGGGAAACUGGAGCUAAUACCGGAUAGUUCCUUGAACCGCAUGGUUCAAGGAUGAAAGACGGUUUCGGCUGUCACUUACAGAUGGACCCGCGGCGCAUUAGCUAGUUGGUGAGGUAACGGCUCACCAAGGCGACGAUGCGUAGCCGACCUGAGAGGGUGAUCGGCCACACUGGGACUGAGACACGGCCCAGACUCCUACGGGAGGCAGCAGUAGGGAAUCUUCCGCAAUGGACGAAAGUCUGACGGAGCAACGCCGCGUGAGUGAUGAAGGUUUUCGGAUAGUAAAGCUCUGUUGUUAGGGAAGAACAAGUGCAAGAGUAACUGCUUGCACCUUGACGGUACCUAACCAGAAAGCCACGGCUAACUACGUGCCAGCAGCCGCGGUAAUACGUAGGUGGCAAGCGUUGUCCGGAAUUAUUGGGCGUAAAGGGCUCGCAGGCGGUUUCUUAAGUCUGAUGUGAAAGCCCCCGGCUCAACCGGGGAGGGUCAUUGGAAACUGGGAAACUUGAGUGCAGAAGAGGAGAGUGGAAUUCCACGUGUAGCGGUGAAAUGCGUAGAGAUGUGGAGGAACACCAGUGGCGAAGGCGACUCUCUGGUCUGUAACUGACGCUGAGAGCGAAAAGC